AUGGAGCUCGGCUCCGGGACCGGCGCCGCGGGCCUCGCCCUGGCGGCGGCCCUCCCGGCGCACACCGUCCUCUCCGACCUCCCCGCCGCGCUCCCCAAUCUCCGCCACAACGCCUCCCUCAACGCGCCCCUCCUCGACUCCCGCGGUGGCUCCGUCUCCGUCGUGCCGCUCCCCUGGGGCGAUGCCGCCGCGAUGGGGGCCGUGGUGGCCCCAGCGCCGGCGUCUCGGUUUGACCUCGUCGUGGCGUCGGACGUGGUCUACUACGAGGAGUUGGUCGACCCCCUGAUAGAGACGCUGCGGUUCUUCGUGAAGGGGGAUGUGGUGUUCCUGAUGGCGCACAUGAGGAGGUGGAAACGCACGGAUAAGAAAUUCUUCGGGAAGGCCAGGAAGGUGUUCGACAUUGAGGUUUUGCACAAGGAUCCACCCCCCGAAGGCUGGCGCCAUGGUCCGGUGGUCUACCGCUUCACAGCGAAGAAGCAGCGUGACAAGAAGUGA
RNAcentral lists this ribosomal RNA (495 nucleotides) under Triticum aestivum (bread wheat). RNAcentral's name for it is "partial small subunit ribosomal RNA". Lineage: Eukaryota; Viridiplantae; Streptophyta; Magnoliopsida; Poales; Poaceae. The record is from RNAcentral.